GCGGUGGAGCAUGUGGUUUAAUUCGAUGCAACGCGAAGAACCUUACCAGGUCUUGACAUCCCGAUGCUAUUUCUAGAGAUAGAAAGUUACUUCGGUACAUCGGUGACAGGUGGUGCAUGGUUGUCGUCAGCUCGUGUCGUGAGAUGUUGGGUUAAGUCCCGCAACGAGCGCAACCCUUACGGUUAGUUGCCAGCGGGUUAUGCCGGGCACUCUAGCUGAACUGCCGUUGACAAAACGGAGGAAGGUGGGAUGACGUCAAAUCAUCAUGCCCUUUAUGUCCUGGGCUACACACGUGCUACAAUGGCCUGUACAGAGGGAAGCGAAAGGGUGACCUGGAGCGAAUCCCAAAAAGCAGGUCUCAGUUCGGAUUGCAGGCUGCAACCCGCCUGCAUGAAGUCGGAAUCGCUAGUAAUCGCAGGUCAGCAUACUGUGGUGAAUACGUUCCCGGGCCUU
Molecule: ribosomal RNA, 453 nt
Filed under: uncultured Desulfotomaculum sp.
Lineage: Bacteria; Bacillati; Bacillota; Clostridia; Eubacteriales; Desulfotomaculaceae
Description: bacterial SSU rRNA
Rfam family: Bacterial small subunit ribosomal RNA
Source: RNAcentral